This 68-nucleotide transfer RNA is filed under the name Bacteroides fragilis. RNAcentral describes it as "tRNA-Glu". It matches the Rfam family "tRNA". From Rfam's summary of the family: Transfer RNA (tRNA) molecules are approximately 80 nucleotides in length. Their secondary structure includes four short double-helical elements and three loops (D, anti-codon, and T loops). The record is from RNAcentral. Lineage: Bacteria; Pseudomonadati; Bacteroidota; Bacteroidia; Bacteroidales; Bacteroidaceae. RNAcentral also lists the same sequence under 4 other names.
AUACCUGUGGCCGAAUGGUUAAGCUCCAACUUUCAAUUGGAUAUGUGGUUCGAAUCCUACCAGGUAUA